AUAUUGAUUUUGCCCGGCGCCAUCUAUUAAUCACUUACCUUACUAGCUCAGUUAUAAUGUGAAACCUGCAUGAAAUCUCCUAUCUGUGGAGGUGUGAGAAAAAGAUUUCUGAAAUAUCAACUAAACAAACGACACAAAAAUAAAGCUAUGAAAUGGUGGAUAAAUAACAAAAGACUGUCGAAUAUUGUACACAAAUUUGGAAAUAUAUUGAAAAAUAAAGGCUUUGUUAUGCAACAUCAAAAAUACAAGGUUAUCUAGUCGAAAGUCUGAAUAAAGAAAUACGAUGCAAUGAAUUUAACUAUAAAAAAAAAUAAGAGUAUUUGACAAAAAAUUAAGUCGAAGAUAACCCAAAAUUAUCUUGAAUAUUCAAAAUUUGUUAUACUAAAGCUAGAAAAUGAAAAACAUUGACUUUCGAUCAUGAUCAAUUAAAAAUAUAAACUGUUCAGUACAACCUUUCACGAUGUAAUAUGAAGAUAAACCAAACUGCUAUGAAGUCUCUUCGGAUCCAAGAAGAAACCAACUCCUUCUCCUUCACUGGAACAAUGUUCUAAAUAUGGUAGAUACCCGCAUCAGAAUACUUUUUCACUUUUCUUAUAAAGUUGAGGGUCAUUUUUGAAAAUUUUUUCUUCACCAUGAAGAUUAUUUAUACAGAUUGAUGUCUAUUUCAACAUAAUUUCACAAAUCUACACAUGCAGCUAAGUGAUGCAAGACGUAUCACCUUAACGAAGUUCCUUUCGAAGUGACUUUUGGAAACAUGGAACCUUUUGAUGAUUCUUACGAACAAAUAAGGCUAUUGUAUGAUACAAAUAGAAGUAAUUCUCUGGUAAAACUCAAAAUUCAAAUUAUUAUAUGUUCUAGUUACUAAUUUCUAAUUUAUAUGUCAUUGAAAUAUCAUAUUUGAUAUAGGAUUACCUAUUUUGAUUUCUUAUGUAAUUCUACCUUUAUACACUUAAAUAAAACCAUCUUAUAACUAUUUAAUUAUUACUAAGUGCUCUCCUAACUUUAGUUCUUUUUAUAAUUCUCAUUCUUCUCAACCUUCCAAUCAACGAUACCCCUCAAAAGUGGCAAUAAUAAAAAAAUUAUCCAUAUACUUUGGGCUUUAUUAAAAUUACUAAAUUAUCUAUUAUUUUAACUAUUCUAUGGUUUGAGUAUCUUAAAAA
Molecule: long non-coding RNA, 1160 nt
Filed under: Diabrotica virgifera virgifera (western corn rootworm)
Lineage: Eukaryota; Metazoa; Arthropoda; Insecta; Coleoptera; Chrysomelidae
Description: uncharacterized LOC126889629
Source: RNAcentral